RNAcentral lists this small RNA (379 nucleotides) under Arabidopsis thaliana (thale cress). RNAcentral describes it as "ATSL277990". The record is from RNAcentral. Lineage: Eukaryota; Viridiplantae; Streptophyta; Magnoliopsida; Brassicales; Brassicaceae.
AUUAUUGGUUAUUCAAUUAGGAGGAAUAGUAUUUACAAAGGUAACUUCAGAAAAUGAAAUUCUAAAAAAGCGGACUAAGCAGUUUACUCUAACAUUACAUGAACGAGAGAUAAGAGAAAGCGAAAAAAUGAGAAGAAACGCGUAACACUCCAAAAUCGUCUAGUAAAUCGGAAACGGCGGGCCAUUCUUCAAGUGACAGUAUCAUGGAAGCUAGCUCUGAACAAACGACUGAUAAUCGAUCUUUCUUAAAAUGAUACUUUUCAUAGCCCAAAUUAAAACAUUUUAACUCUGAAUAAAGUUAGAAGAUACCCCUCCUAAUACCUUUUACACCGAGCAAUAUCGUUUAAUCAUUUCUUUAAACAAGGAAAUUGAAUUAGAC